This 700-nucleotide ribosomal RNA is filed under the name uncultured bacterium. RNAcentral's name for it is "bacterial SSU rRNA". It matches the Rfam family "Bacterial small subunit ribosomal RNA", at positions 801 to 1501 of the family's 1533-position model. The record is from RNAcentral.
CGUAAACGAUGGGUACUAGGUGUAGGAGGUAUCGACCCCUUCUGUGCCGUCGUUAACACAAUAAGUACCCCGCCUGGGGAGUACGGUCGCAAGACUAAAACUCAAAGGAAUUGACGGGGGCCCGCACAAGCAGCGGAGCAUGUGGUUUAAUUCGAAGCAACGCGAAGAACCUUACCUAGACUUGACAUCUCCUGAAUUACCCUUAACCGGGGAAGCCCUUCGGGGCAGGAAGACAGGUGGUGCAUGGUUGUCGUCAGCUCGUGUCGUGAGAUGUUGGGUUAAGUCCCGCAACGAGCGCAACCCUUAUUUUUAGUUGCUACCAUUAGGUUGAGCACUCUAAAGAGACUGCCCGGGUUAACCGGGAGGAAGGUGGGGAUGACGUCAAAUCAUCAUGCCCCUUAUGUCUAGGGCUACACACGUGCUACAAUGGUGAGAACAAAGAGACGCAAGACCGCGAGGUGGAGCAAAUCUCACAAAACUCAUCCCAGUUCGGAUUGCAGGCUGAAACUCGCCUGCAUGAAGCCGGAGUUGCUAGUAAUCGCGAAUCAGCAUGUCGCGGUGAAUACGUUCCCGGGCCUUGUACACACCGCCCGUCACACCAUGAGAGUUGGCAAUACCCGAAGUCCGUGGGGCAACCGUUUACGGAGCCAGCGGCCGAAGGUAGGGUCAGCGAUUGGGGUGAAGUCGUAACAAGGUAACC